RNAcentral lists this ribosomal RNA (253 nucleotides) under uncultured bacterium. Its description in RNAcentral is "partial 16S ribosomal RNA". It matches the Rfam family "Bacterial small subunit ribosomal RNA", at positions 524 to 776 of the family's 1533-position model. The record is from RNAcentral.
UACGUAGGGGGCAAGCGUUAUCCGGAAUUACUGGGUGUAAAGGGUGCGUAGGUGGCAUGGUAAGACAGAUGUGAAAACUUGGGGCUCAACUUCAAGAUUGCAUCUGAAACUGCUAAGCUAGAGUGCAGGAGAGGAAAGCGGAAUUCCGAGUGUAGCGGUGAAAUGCGUAGAGAUUCGGAGGAACACCAGUAGCGAAGGCGGCUUUCUGGACUGUAACUGACACUGAGGCACGAAAGCGUGGGGAGCGAACAGG